CUGAAGUCUGGGGUCAUUUGGUUUCUUUUUCUUCUUCUGUAAAUUGGAAAGCAGUGGGAAAAUUACAAAGUAUCUUUUUAAAACUCAGGUGGUUUGCAUAGCUAUUUGUCUGUUUGAGUUUGUUGUUCCUGUGAUUUAAAAGAUUGUCUCCACUUAACUGGAAAUAAGCCAAAUGUCUAUCAAUAGAGAACUGGUUGCAUCAACUCCUGCAUCUCCACACAAUGCAGUACUAUGAGCUGCAAAUGGAAAGCAGGAUGUUUCUAUAUUCAACUGUGGAAGGAUCUCCAGGAUAUACUGUUACAUUAAGAAAGAAGGGUGGAUGAGACGGAAAAGUUUGCCUGAUGUAAUGGAUCUAGGCGAUGAGUAUCCAUGGCUACCAACACGAGACAGACAACCAGAAAUGAUCCUGAGCUUCAGCUAUUGCUCCCUAACUGAGAAUGAGAUGCAAGAGAAGUCUCACUAGGAAAGGAGUCAGAGCUACGGGAAUUUUCAAGAGAACUUUAAAAAUUCUUCACUUAAAACUCUCUUUUUAAAAGAAAUCCUCGUGGAGCAUACCAACUACUGAAAUCAGAAAGACUUUUAUCAUUGCAAUUGUAACAAUAUUAAUUAUGCAUAGUUUAUUACUGUAUUAAGUGUAGGUGGAAUCUAUUUCAAGAAAACACAAUAAAGCCUAAACCAAAAUAAGCAAGCUAGGAGUCGACUGUUCAUAUUUCAAAAGGAUUCUCCAAUUUUAACAGGAUUCAUUGCUGUUUUUUUCACAAGCUUUAAUACCCCUGUGGUUUUAAAAAAAUCAUUUUAAAAAUUUAAUUUACACAUAAUUUUUCAGGAACUCAUCUAUUGUAUGAAAUGAUGCACAACUCUGCAUGUGUAUAGAUAAUGCUAUAAACAAAGGGCUCAUAAAAUUUUCCCAUAAAUUAUCUCAUUAGCUGGGACUAUACGAAUGAAUAUAAGCAUUGGUUAGAAUGCCUAAGAAGCCACUAGAAAAAAAAAAUUCUUGCAUUAUUUACUUUUUAUGAAUAUAUGUAAGUGCUCUACAUUGCUUAGUUCCUAGCAAAAACUAAGAACUCUAAUAUGCCCAUGAGGCCCUUCCCUGAUGACUCAUUUAUUAGAAAACUUUUCCUUAUAAACGAUACAAAAAUAAACUUCAGCUCACCUGGUAGAAUCACAGAAAAUUUGAAUUAGUAAAGUAAAACUUGAAGACCCAUAGGUAACAAAUACUUCAUGUUACCCACAGAGUCCCCAUGUCAGAACUGUCUGAUGUCACUGUCAGAGACACAGAAACCAGGGACCUAGACAGAGAAAGAAGUUCCAUGGUCCUAACCGCCGGGAUGCAACUGUGGUUUGGGAGUGGCAAAUGAGGGCUCUCAACUAACAUGAAUGUCUUGAAAACAACUAUCAAGUCUCAGAAAAGGAGAAUUUUGAAAUCAUAGUAUAUGUCCUUUGAACUACCUCCC
This 1454-nucleotide long non-coding RNA is filed under the name Homo sapiens (human). RNAcentral describes it as "HSALNT0134630". The record is from RNAcentral. Lineage: Eukaryota; Metazoa; Chordata; Mammalia; Primates; Hominidae.